GAAUUUUGGACAAUGGGCGCAAGCCUGAUCCAGCCAUGCCGCGUGAGUGAAGAAGGCCUUCGGGUUGUAAAGCUCUUUCGCGAGGGAAGAAAACGUACGGGCCAAUACCCUGUGCGGAUGACGGUACCUUGACAAGAAGCACCGGCUAACUACGUGCCAGCAGCCGCGGUAAUACGUAGGGUGCGAGCGUUAAUCGGAAUUACUGGGCGUAAAGCGUGCGCAGGCGGUUUGCUAAGACAGGUGUGAAAUCCCCGGGCUUAACCUGGGAACUGCGCUUGUGACUGGCAGGCUAGAGUACGGCAGAGGGGGGUGGAAUUCCACGUGUAGCAGUGAAAUGCGUAGAUAUGUGGAGGAACACCGAUGGCGAAGGCAGCCCCCUGGGCCUGUACUGACGCUCAUGCACGAAAGCGUGGGGAGCAAACAGG
Molecule: ribosomal RNA, 425 nt
Filed under: uncultured bacterium
Lineage: Bacteria
Description: bacterial SSU rRNA
Rfam family: Bacterial small subunit ribosomal RNA
Source: RNAcentral